GGGGGUGAACGGUCUCGACUACGGAUGUUGAGGCAGGGGAAGCGGGCCGAGGAAGCCGGGAUGAUCUCGUAAACCAAUAACCCGUGCAAAAAAAUAAGUGCCAAUAAAACGGCCACUGAUUUCGCCCUCGCUGCAUAAGCGAGCCUUCGAAAUCCGUUAGCCCAGGGUCGCUCUCGACCUGGAAUCUAGCGUCGCUAGAGAGCUCUACCUGCCAGGGGUGCAUCGAACUCUGUUGGGGAAAUCUUUUCGAUGAUGAGUCCGGCGAUCACUUGUGCGCGUGUGGAUCGGGACUGAGAAACCGCUUAGCGUAAUACGCCCGUAGAAGACCUGGUUUAAUGCCGAAGGACGCGGGUUCGAUUCCCGCCACCUCCACUG
This 375-nucleotide transfer-messenger RNA is filed under the name Candidatus Nanopelagicaceae. Its description in RNAcentral is "GCA-2737595 sp009702245 Standard tmRNA". It matches the Rfam family "transfer-messenger RNA". Rfam says of the family: Bacterial tmRNA, also known as 10Sa RNA or SsrA, is named for its dual tRNA and mRNA-like properties. Its role is to liberate the mRNA from a stalled ribosome. Lineage: Bacteria; Bacillati; Actinomycetota; Actinomycetes; Candidatus Nanopelagicales. The record is from RNAcentral. RNAcentral also lists the same sequence under 1 other name.